CCGGCACGGUGAGUAACACGUAUGCAAUCCACCUGUAACAGGGGGAGUAACCCGGAGAAAUCCGGACUAAUACCCCAUAAUAUGGGCGCUCCGCAUGGAGAGCCCAUUAAAGAGAGCAAUUUUGGUUACAGACGAGCAUGCGCUCCAUUAGCCAGUUGGCGGGGUAACGGCCCACCAAAGCGACGAUGGAUAGGGGUUCUGAGAGGAAGGUCCCCCACAUUGGAACUGAGACACGGUCCAA
This 241-nucleotide ribosomal RNA is filed under the name uncultured bacterium. Its description in RNAcentral is "partial 16S ribosomal RNA". It matches the Rfam family "Bacterial small subunit ribosomal RNA", at positions 105 to 334 of the family's 1533-position model. The record is from RNAcentral.